This is a long non-coding RNA of Mauremys mutica (yellowpond turtle), 688 nucleotides long. RefSeq lists it as uncharacterized. The record is from RefSeq and is a predicted model, not a curated record. Lineage: Eukaryota; Metazoa; Chordata; Testudines; Geoemydidae. The transcript has 2 exons.
CUGGCUUAGAAACAGCGUAGUCUGUUCAUGGUAGCAGAUGUUAAGGGAACAUCAUGGCCUAUUAAUAUUCAUUGCAAUUAAUGCUAAAUGAUUUUAAACCAGCUCCCCUUCUCUCGCUGGAGCUGACGACAGAUCUGAAAGGAGGCCAAUAAGGAUCCUGUAAAAAGAUACCAUUCCUUGUGGAGGUCGGGUGUGCUCCCCAGCAGAAGAGCCGGGGGUCACCACACAGAAGGGGAGUUGAUAUGCCAGAGCCAGUUCCAGGAGGAAUGCUCAAUGCUCUAUUACCAGGGUUUGUUUUAAAUCUAUACACUUCACUGAGUGAUUGGUUAAUCGGUUAGCUGACUGGCUAACAGUGAUUUCAGCAGAGGAAGAGUCUGCCUGGAUUCCAGCUGAAGAUUCCUACAAGCCAGUGGAGGGAAGAUGUUGCUUUUGACUCAGACGACUGUACAGAUUUGGUGGUUAAAGACUCAGACUCAGGUGAAUUCAACCUAAACUUUUGGGAACUCUGAGUUUCCUCUCACUGUCUUUCUGUGGAGACUGAGCUGUUUAAUUUGUUUUCUUUAUUUCUGUUUAUGCAUAACUGUGAAGACAAUGUAUGUGGAUUAUAAAAUUGCCAUGUUAUGUUGUAGAAAUUAAGUUAUUAUUCAUUAUGUUUCUUUAUCAUAAGAAUUAUAAUGUUGGUACUUAA